UAUAUACUCCCUCCGUCCCAAAAUUCGUGUCUUAGAUUUUUUUUAGAUAGGGAUGCAUCUAGAUGCUAAAACGAGACAAGAUACAUCCAUAUCUAGACAAAUUUAAGACAAUAAUUUUAGGACGGAGGGAGUACUCA
Molecule: non-coding RNA, 137 nt
Organism: Hordeum vulgare subsp. vulgare (domesticated barley)
Lineage: Eukaryota; Viridiplantae; Streptophyta; Magnoliopsida; Poales; Poaceae
Source: Rfam